GAAUGAUGACAGAGAGCUGGCCUUGCAAAGAUCCACAGGAAAAGAGUUCCUGGCAGAGGGAACAGCAAGGGCAGAAGGCUCAGGAAACCGUCCAUUUGGAGGUCUGGAAACCGGCACAGAAAUAAACACGGUAGAGCUAGACCAGAGACCAACAAAGUGAAUCUGGAGCUUAGAUGGAGAGAGAAGAGAGAGAUUAAUUGAGGCCCCAGGUACUGCGGAAUGCUUCCCCAGGAGUGGAUGAGGCCGUCUGAAAGGAGACCUCCGAAGUGUUUCUUGAGGAAAUGUGGCUGCAGACCCUAGAAGAAGCUACACAGCACUUGCCAGGGCUGGGAUGAUGUCCAGGCCAUGGAAACACCGUGUACCUGGUCCCAGGAAGAUGAAGUGUGGGCCCAGAGACUAAUGGCUUGAGCAUCUCAGGCUAAGGUUGCCGAGAAGUAGACAGCACCUCUAGAUCCUAGUCAACAUCUCUACAGGCUUGAAGUCUCCCCAGAGGGCAAGGUUGGAAUAAAUCUGAAGCCUGUGGCUUGCCUGGGAGCUGCCC
This 541-nucleotide long non-coding RNA is filed under the name Homo sapiens (human). RNAcentral's name for it is "non-protein coding lnc-HNF1A-1:4". Lineage: Eukaryota; Metazoa; Chordata; Mammalia; Primates; Hominidae. The record is from RNAcentral.